AUGACGGGCACAACCUCCGCCCUCACCACCAGCACCGUCGGCGCCCUCAUCAACAGCACCGCCGGCGCCCUCACUUCUGCCGCUGCCGGCUCUAUCGCUUCCGCACCAACCAUCUCCAUGCCGUCGGUUGCUGGACUCAUCACUGUCCGGCUCACCCGCGCGAAUUUCCACUUAUGGAAAGCGCAGGUCGUCCCCAACCUCUCCGGUGCAGGUCUCUUCGGUUACCUCGACGGCUCCUUUCCCCAGCCGCCGCAGACAGUCAUCGAAGGCACCGGUGAUGCGGCACAUCAGGUGCCCAACCCGGCGUACACAGUCUGGUGGAUGGCCGACCAGGCUGUUCUUGGCGCCCUCCUGUCCUCCAUGACCGAGGAAGUCCUCGGUCAGAUGACGCGCAUGACCUCCUCGGCCGCCGCAUGGACUGCCCUCUGCGCCAUGUUCGCUGCGCAGAAUAGGGCUGCUGUUCAUCAGCUUCGCACGCAACUGAACCAGACCAAGAAAAAGGACAUGUCCGUGUCUGAGUACUUCCACAAGAUGACGGGCAACGCCGAUGCCAUGGCUGCUGUCGGCGACCCCCUGUCCGAUGAACAGAUCAUCGGCCACAUCCAGGGUGGCUUGGGUCAGGAGUACGACCCCCUGGUGGCUUCGCUCACCAUCUUCGACGGAGCGAUCAGCCUCACCAACUUCUACGCGCAUCUCCUCAGCUUGGAGGCCCGUCAGGAGCAGCACGCCGCAGCUGGUGGCGAUUUUUCGUCCUCCGUCAACAACGUCGUUCGCCAUGGAGGUGGCUCGUCUUCCCGUAAUGGCAACCGCAACGGAGGUGUAGCUUAUGGCAGCCGCAAUGGCGGCCAGCAGCAUGGCGGCCAGAACGGCCAGCACCAUGGCGGUCGUGGCAACAAUGGAAACCACGGCGGCGGCGGCGGCAACCGUCGUCCCAAGUGUCAAAUCUGCCGUAUUUUUGGGCACUCCGCCCUUCAGUGUCGCCAACGCUACAACCACGCUUAUCAGGCGGAUGAGUACCAUGGCGGCAACAUGGUGACGCACGGCCACGUCGACAACCACUGGCUACUGGACACCGGUGCCACCGACCAUCUCACCAACGACCUUGAUCGUCUAACGAGCAUGAGCGCCACAGUGGGAAGGACCAAGUGCAUGUUGCAAACGGUGCAGGACAAACUCACGAGGAAGGUGCUUCUUCUCGGUAGAAGCCGCAAUGGCCUCUACCCUAUACCGUUUCGUCAGUCAUCGUCAUCAUCGCAUCAAGCUUUUUCCAGCAUUCGUUCUUCUUCAAGCCACUGGCACCAUCGUUUGGGUCACCCAUCAAAUAAUGUAGUUGAGUCUGUCGUUCGUUCAAAUAAACUCUCUUGUUCGUCGAAUAAUGAGACUUUUGUUUGUGACGCGUUGACCAAAAGCCAUCAAUUGCCAUAUCAUAAUUCAUCACGUAUUUCGACAACACCUCUUGAGCUUGUGCAUACCGAUGUGUGGGGGCCUGUCCUUGCUUCAUCUAGCGGGUUUAAAUAUUAUGUUAGUUUUGUGGAUGAUUUCAGCCGCUUCACAUGGAUUUACCUUCUUAAACAUAAAUCGGAUGUUGAACAAGUUUUCUAUAAUUUUCAAUCUCAUGUCGAACGUCUUCUCAAUACAAAAAUCCGUGCGAUCCAAUCUGAUUGGGGUGGUGAAUACCACCGCUUGCAUAAAUUUUUUCAGCGUGUUGGUAUUUCCCAUCGUGUGUCUUGUCCUCACACCUCACAACAGAACGGUAUAGCCGAGCGCAAGCAUCGUCAUUUGGUUGAGACCGGGCUUGCCCUCCUCGCUCAUUCCUCCCUUCCACUUCGCUACUGGGAUGAAGCAUUCCUUACCGCGUGUUAUCUUAUUAAUCGCAUGCCUAGUAUGACCCUCCACAACAUCACACCCAUGGAGCGCCUCCUCAAUGUCACUCCUGACUAUUCGUUCCUUCGCAUUUUUGGAUGCGCAUGUUGGCCUAGUCUUCGCAAAUACAACUCUCGUAAACUUGAGUUUUGA
RNAcentral lists this ribosomal RNA (2016 nucleotides) under Triticum aestivum (bread wheat). RNAcentral describes it as "partial small subunit ribosomal RNA". The record is from RNAcentral. Lineage: Eukaryota; Viridiplantae; Streptophyta; Magnoliopsida; Poales; Poaceae.